AUUGAACGCUGGCGGCAGGCCUAACACAUGCAAGUCGAACGGUAACAGGAAGCAGCUUGCUGCUUCGCUGACGAGUGGCGGACGGGUGAGUAAUGUCUGGGAAACUGCCUGAUGGAGGGGGAUAACUACUGGAAACGGUAGCUAAUACCGCAUAACGUCGCAAGACCAAAGAGGGGGACCUUCGGGCCUCUUGCCAUCGGAUGUGCCCAGAUGGGAUCAGCUAGUAGGUGGGGUAACGGCUCACCUAGGCGACGAUCCCUAGCUGGUCUGAGAGGAUGCCCAGCAACACUGGAACUGAGACACGGUCCAGACUCCUACGGGAGGCAGCAGUGGGGAAUAUUGCACAAUGGGCGCAAGCCUGAUGCAGCCAUGCCGCGUGUAUGAAGAAGGCCUUCGGGUUGUAAAGUACUUUCAGCGGGGAGGAAGGCGAUGAGGUUAAUAACCUUGUCGAUUGACGUUACCCGCAGAAGAAGCACCGGCUAACUCCGUGCCAGCAGCCGCCGUAA
This 506-nucleotide ribosomal RNA is filed under the name uncultured bacterium. RNAcentral's name for it is "partial 16S ribosomal RNA". It matches the Rfam family "Bacterial small subunit ribosomal RNA", at positions 30 to 523 of the family's 1533-position model. The record is from RNAcentral.